CUGACUACUAUAAACAAGACCGGAGCGCUGGAAAAAUUUCUUUUUACUGAAUCUAUCUUACAGUUGAGGAGACGAAAACGUCUCCAAGUUCACUUCAGAUCAAAGAAGAGAUGUUUAAAACAGAAAGAAGAACGUGCGGAAAUAAGGAAAGGAACAUUGUUGGUUCAGUUUCAACCCGAAUGUCUCCAAAACAGCAGCUAAAUCAACCACUGAUGCGUGAAGGGACCAUAAUCCAAGAACAGUACCAUCAGGAAGCAGCAUCAAUCUCCCAGGUGAUAAAAAUGGAGACACUGACGUUACAGAGGAUCAAAAUAGAAGGAGGAAAUGCCAGAAUCAGGACUAAAUCCCAAAAUCUUCGUUUUGAAUGUUUUCUUUAUAAUUACACUUAAGUAUUUCUUUUUACACUGUUGAAACAUUUUCAUUGACCAUAAUUUUUAGCGUUGUCUUACGACAGUAAUGCCUAAAUAUAAAUCUACACUCCAGUAGAAUUUCCAUUUCCUCCAAAAUGGAACCCGACACCUAUUAACAAUUAUGUAGCAUCCAUGACUUGCCCAGAUCAAUCCUUCUGUCACCCUGGAUGGAAUUCAAUUCAUAGGAAGAGUCUGCACACCCUCACUCUAAAAUCACUUUCCAUUUUUGUCCCCACUGACACCCUUGAGAGCUACCAGCAGAAGGUUUUGAAUGAACCAUGAAUUGAUAUUGUAAGCUGCUGGGACGCGAGGGAAAAACGCUUCAGAAGAAACCAGCUCUGAGCAGAAUUGUGAAGUGUGGUGUUUCUUAUUAUCGCCAUCAACUCUGUCUCUCUUUUCUGGUUUGUUUUGUUGGGUUUGGCUCAAUUACCAGUCAAUUUGUUGGGGUUUUUAAACCAAAACAUUGCUAAUGCCAACGAGAAGACAAAACAGAACAAAACAAAAACACCUGCAAACAGGAUGAGCUUUAUCACCGAGCCAUUGCCGCAUGGAAUUUUUACUCCAGUCUCCCCUCCAAGAGGUUUGUUCAUCCUCCAGCUUUGCUCCUGAAUUUUAACCAUACCGCCGAAGAUAGCAAGAAAGAAUCAAAAGGUCAUACACUCCCCAACACAGGUGGCUUUGAUGGAUUUCUGGUCUCGGCGGAAAUGGGUCUCUAAUCUACAUACAUGUAACACUUUUGACUUUAUGGUCAAGCUUUUAACUUACACACGAAACACAAAUUACGGAUGAUGCAUUUGUUAAAAUAAAAU
This 1219-nucleotide long non-coding RNA is filed under the name Felis catus (domestic cat). RNAcentral's name for it is "lncRNA (ENSFCAG00000047638.1)". The record is from RNAcentral. Lineage: Eukaryota; Metazoa; Chordata; Mammalia; Carnivora; Felidae.